CUGGUUGAUUCUGCCAGUGGUCAUAUGCUCGUCUCAAAGACUAAGCCAUGCAUGUCUACGUUCAUAACCAUCGAGGUUGAAACUGCGAAGCGCUCAGUAAAUCAGUUAUAGUCUGUUCGAUCGUUCAAGCCCAUGGAUAACUGUGGCAAAUCUAUAGCUAAUACAUGUAAAAGCGGGGGUAACCCUGUACAUUUAUUGACUAACCGACACCACCGGGCYUCGGCCCGGUAGCAGGUGAAUCUAGAUAACUGUGCCUACCGCAUAGCUCUACGCUGGUGGUAGUUCGAUCGAAUUUCUGCCCUAUCAACUAGUUGGUAAGGUAGUGGCUUACCAAGGUAGUAACGGGUAACGGGGAAUCAGGGUUCGAUUCCGGAGAGGGAGCCUGAGAAACGGCUACCACAUCCAAGGACGGCAGCAGGCGCGCAAAUUACCCAAUCCAGACAUUGGGAGGUAGUGACGAGAAAUACUGGGGGCGCUCAAUUGAGCGCCAUCCGGAAUGAACGUAACACAAAAAAUUCGAUGAGGAUCUACUGGAGGGCAAGUCUGGUGCCAGCAGCCGCGGUAAUUCCAGCUCCAGUAGUGUAUAUCAACAUUGUUGCGCUUAAAACGCUCGUAGUUGGAUUACAGAGCUUCAAACGCGCUCUCUCCUAAGGAGUGUAGUGCGGUCGAUGCAAGCACAACCGCCAGUCCGCUGGUCAAGUGUAGCACGGCGAGGCUCUUUUGUCGCACUGGUUCUAGCCGCUGUCUUUGUUGAGAGUGGCUAGCUGCCGGUGGAGUGUGCCUUGAAUAAAGCAUAGUGCUCAAAGCAGGCGAACGCUCGUGUGUAAUAGCAUGGAACGAAUAUAUUGGCCGUGGUUGGCCGGUGUCAGCGAUGGCGUCGUGCCAACCGCAGGUUCGAUCAGUGUUGGUUGGAACCACGGUCUCAACGGUUAACAGGGACACCUGAGGGCACUAGUACUUUGUGGCGAGAGGUGAAAUUCUUAGACCCACAAAAGACUGACUACUGCGAAAGCAUUUGCCAAGAGUGUUUUCAUUAAUCAAGAACGAAGGUCAGAGGAUCGAAGACGAUCAGAUACCGUCCUAGUUUUGACAGCAAACUAUGCCAGCAUAGGGUUGGAGCGGUCGCUGCUUAACAGGCAGUCGAACCACUGCAGGCCUUAAGGGAAACCUAGCUUUCGGGCUGCUGGGAGAAUAUCGCUGCAAGGCUGAAAUUUAAAGAAAUUGACGGAGAGGCACCACCAGGAGUGGAGCCUGCGGCUUAAUUUGACUCAACACGGGGAAACUCACCAGGUCCAGACAUUGGUAGGAUUGACAGACUGGUAGAUCUUUCAUGAUUCAGUGAAUGGUGGUGCAUGGCCGUUCUUAGUUGGUGGAGUGAUCUGUCAGGUCUAUUCCGGUAACGAGCGAGACCACGGCCUUUAGUUGUUGGUUGGACAAAGCACCGGACAAGUGCCGGUGCCCAGCCUCUCUAGAGGGACUAUUGGCGUUUAAGCCAGGGGAAGCGUGGCAAUAACAGGUCUGUGAUGCCCUUCGAUGUCCUGGGCUGCACGCGCGCUACAAUGGCAGCAGUAGAGAGCAACUGGCUAGAGAUGGCCGGUAAAACUGUAAAUAGCUGUCGUGAUAGGGAUUGAGCCUUGUAAUUUUUGCUCAUGAAAGAGGAAUUCCUCGUAAGCACGAGUCAUCAGCUCGUGUUGAAUACGUCUCUGCCUCUUGUACACACCGCCCGUCGCUA
This 1732-nucleotide ribosomal RNA is filed under the name Ceratomyxa sp. SRR. Its description in RNAcentral is "SSU rRNA". It matches the Rfam family "Eukaryotic small subunit ribosomal RNA". The record is from RNAcentral. Lineage: Eukaryota; Metazoa; Cnidaria; Myxozoa; Bivalvulida; Ceratomyxidae.